UGAAUGGGAGACAACCAAAAUAUACUUCUAGAAUACGAAAUAGGUGAAUGAUGCAAUGUGGGUACCUACCAAGUAGCUGAGAUGUAAUGGCUUUUGCCAGAUAAGUGGCAGUCACAUAAGUCUAGCAAGAUAACAGGGCAUAGUAAAAAAUAUAAUACAGAUGCCACAUGCCUGGAGUUUUUUCAAUUUGGGCACAUGGUGCCCUCAAAGGAUCUCCUCCCAUGUUACACAGAAAAACAUAAUUGGCUGAGCACAGUGAUUCAAACCUACAAUCUCAGCACUUUGGGAGGCUGAGGUGUACAGAUUGCUUGAGCUCAGGAGUUCGAUACCAGCCUGGAAACAUGGUAAAACCCUAUAUCUACUAAUACGAGAAAAUAGCCAGGCAUGGUGGUGCAUGCCUGUGGACCCAGCUACAUGGAGGCUAAGGUGGGAAGAUCACUUGAGCCUAGGGGGUGGAGGAUGCAGUGAGCUACGAUCGCAGCACUGCACACCAGCAUGGGUGAUGGAGUGAGACCGUCUCUCCAAAAAAAGGAAAAAAUAAUAACAUUCCCUAUAUAUCUAACCUAUACAUCUACAGUGUUUUUCUCAUCUCAGUGUUCUAGGAUUCAAUGACAGAAGGCACAGUGCUUUUUUGCAAACAUUACAUUCAAAAGGCAUUUCCGUAGUGACAGCUCUCCUGUGAGUUUUGAAGCCAGACUUCUGGAUAAAUAGCCUAUAUUUGCCACACUAGUAAGGCCUUCAUUCAGUGUUAAGUAUAAUCCUGAAGGAAUACAGAGGUGUGGCUACAAAACUGCCAAAUUUAUUUUACUUGUAAGGACUUUUCUCUAGUGUGAACUCUCCAAUGUCCAAGGAGAGCGGACUUCUUUCGGGUAAACAUUUUCCACAUUUGCUGCAAUCACAGGAUCUUACUCAGGUGUGUGCUCUCCUGUAUUUAAUGAGACUGGACUCAUUCUCUGCACUCAUAAGGCCUUUCUUUCAUGAACUCUCUGACGGUAACGAAGUGAAGAGCUUUUCCUAAAUUUUUUUUCACAUUCACUACACCCAUAAGGCUUUUCUCCAGUGUGAACUCUCCUAUGAUUAGUGAGACUGGAGAUUCCAGCAAAAGAUUUCCCACAUUCACUGCACUCAAGGCUUCUGACCAGUGUGAACUCUCCUGUGACUAGUGAGAUAGGAGCUUGCAGCAAAAGAUUUCCCACAUUCACUGCACUCAUAAGGCUUCUGACCAGUGUGAACUCUCUUAUGAACAAUGAAUGCACAGCUGUGGGUAAAUGACUUCCCACAAUCACUGCAUUCAUAUGGCCUUUCUCCAGUGUGAACUCUCUGGUGUGCAGUGAGGUGGCACUUGUGCCUAAAAAAUUUCUGACAAGCCUCACAUGCAUAUGGCUUUUCUCCACUGUGAAUUCUCUGGUGUACAAGGAGGUGAGACUUCUUCUUAAAUAAUUUUCCACAUUCCCAACACAUAUAAGGCCUUUUUCUAGUAUGGCCAUGCUGGUGUAGAAUUAGGUUACCCUUGUGACUAAAACAUUUCCCACAUUCCCCACACUUAUAAGGUCUUUCUGUAGUGUGAACUCGCUGAUGACUCCUAAGGUGUCCUUUUUCAUUAAAAGAUUUCCCACAGUCUCCACACUUGUAAGGUCUUUCUCCAGUGUGCAUGCGCUGAUGGAUCCUAAGGUGCCCCUUUGAAAUAUAAGAUUUCCCACAUUCUCCACACUUGUAAGGUCUUACUUCAGUGUGAAUGCGCUGAUGGUAACUAAGGCUGGGCUUCCGACUAAAAGAUUUCUCACAUUCUCCACACUUGUAAGGUCUCUCUCCAGUGUGAAUGCGCUGAUGACUCUUAAGGUUCACGUUUGAACUAAAAGAUUUCCCACAUUCCCCACACUCAUAAGGCCCUUUUCCAGCGUGAACUUUUUGAUGGCGCCUAAGAUGUCCUUCUAAGCUAAAAUAUUUCCCACAUUCUUCACACCCAUAAGGUUUUCCUCCAGUGUGAAAUUGCUGAUGUUGAAUGAGGCUGCUCUUUUGACUAAAAGAUUUCCCACAUUCUCCACAUUCAUAAGGUCUUUUCCCAGUGUGAACUCUCUGAUGAUUACUGAAGCUAACAUAUUUGCUAAAGGAUUUCCCACAUUCUCCACAUUCAUAAUGUUUUUUGUCAGUGUGAACUCUCUGAUGAUUACUCAAGCUAUCAUAUUUGCUAAACGAUUUCCCACAUUCUCCACAUUCAUAAGGUCUUUUCACAGUGUGAACUCUCUGAUGAUUACUGAAGCUAACAUAUUUGCUAAAGGAUUUCCCACAUUCACAGCACACAUAACAUUCUUCUCGAGGGAGAAGUCUCUGGUGCUGACUGAGUAUAUGUUUGGUGCUAAAAUGUUUCAUGGAAUCUCCAUGGCUAUAGUGAGCUCCCCCACACUGAAUGGGAGACACACACUCAGUUUUGCUGUUUGACUUCUCCCCAGUGUGACUGGCCUCCUGCUGGAGUAAUCCUGACCUGGGCAAAAAGUCCUUCCCAUUCUCACUGAAGACGGAUGACUCCCCUGACACAUGCAACUUACACCUCUUCGCAAACAACGCCUCCUCAACACUCUCUCUGUAGGGUUUCUCUCCAAUGUGCUCAUUCUGGUGCUGAUGAAAGUUUCCACUGUCAUACAAUUUAUUCCCCCAGGCCUCACACCUGUGCAGUUUCUGCUUGUGAUGUGUUCCCUGAUGAUCUGCCACAUGCAAAAUGUCUCCCAAGAUCGGGCCACACAUCUCACAGGGGUGGGCCUUCUUGGGAGACACACCUGUCAUAGGAGUCCUGACCUGAGUCUCUCUUUGUAUAUAAAUACUCUGCUUAGAAGGUGCCGCCUCAUCUUCCACUCCACACCAACAACCUGAAAGCAAGAAAAUGCUGGUGAAGUGCAUGUUAACUCUGGUGGGAAGGCACAGACCACCCACAAGUGUAUCUGACAAACUGAGGAAUUACUCCAAGGAACUACUUGGAGGAACAGGAUGUUGG
RNAcentral lists this long non-coding RNA (2989 nucleotides) under Pan troglodytes (chimpanzee). RNAcentral's name for it is "long non-coding RNA NONPTRT008661". The record is from RNAcentral. Lineage: Eukaryota; Metazoa; Chordata; Mammalia; Primates; Hominidae.